GGGGGUAUAGCUCAGUUGGCAGAGCGUUCGACCAAAGUUCGGAUGGUCUCGGGUUCGAUCCCCGAUGCCUCCA
Non-coding RNA from Strongylocentrotus purpuratus (purple sea urchin), 73 nucleotides. Lineage: Eukaryota; Metazoa; Echinodermata; Echinoidea; Camarodonta; Strongylocentrotidae. The record is from Rfam.